Molecule: ribosomal RNA, 851 nt
Filed under: Lauriomyces basitruncatus
Lineage: Eukaryota; Fungi; Ascomycota; Leotiomycetes
Description: LSU rRNA
Rfam family: Eukaryotic large subunit ribosomal RNA
Source: RNAcentral
GCAACGAUUCGCUAUUGCAUUAGUAACGGCGAGUGAAGCGGCAACAGCUCAAAUUUGAAAUCUGGCCUUGGCCCGAAUUGUAAUUUGUAGAGGAUGUCUUGGGUAUGGUGCGGUCUGAGUUCCCUGGAACGGGACGCCAGAGAGGGUGAGAGCCCCGUACAGAUCAGUGCCUCUAUCCGUGUAAGACUCCUUCGACGAGUCGAGUUGUUUGGGAAUGCAGCUCAAAAUGGGUGGUAAAUUUCAUCUAAAGCUAAAUAUUGGCCAGAGACCGAUAGCGCACAAGUAGAGUGAUCGAAAGAUGAAAAGCACUUUGGAAAGAGAGUUAAACAGCACGUGAAAUUGUUGAAAGGGAAGCGCUCGCAAUCAGACUUGCGCGUAGCUGAUCAUCCGGCGUUCUCGCUGGUGCACUCGGUUGCGUUCAGGCCAGCAUCAGUUUUGGCGGUCGGACAAAGGCCCUAGGAAUGUAGCUGUUCGCAGUGUUAUAGCCUAGGGUGCAAUGCGGCCCGCUGAGACUGAGGUCCGCGCUCUGCAAGGAUGCUGGCGUAAUGAUUGUGAGCGACCCGUCUUGAAACACGGACCAAGGAGUCUAACAUCUAUGCGAGUGUGCGGGUGUCAAACCCCUACGCGUAAUGAAAGUGAACGGAGGUGAGAGCCUUUUAGGUGCAUCAUCGACCGAUCCUGAUGUCUUCGGAUGGAUUUGAGUAUGAGCAUAGCUGUUGGGACCCGAAAGAUGGUGAACUAUGCUUGGAUAGGGUGAAGCCAGAGGAAACUCUGGUGGAGGCUCGCAGCGGUUCUGACGUGCAAAUCGAUCGUCAAAUCUGAGCAUGGGGGCGAAAGACUAAUCGAACCAU